AUACGGAGGGUGCAAGCGUUAAUCGGAUUUACUGGGCGUAAAGCGCGCGUAGGCGGUUUGGUAAGUCGGAUGUGAAAUCCCAGGGCUCAACCUUGGAACUGCAUUCGAUACUGCCUCACUAGAGUAUGGUAGAGGGAAGUGGAAUUCCGGGUGUAGCGGUGAAAUGCGUAGAUAUCCGGAGGAACAUCAGUGGCGAAGGCGACUUCCUGGCCCAAUACUGACGCUGAGGUGCGAAAGCGUGGGGAGCAAACAGGAUUAGAAACCCCGGUAGUCC
This 274-nucleotide ribosomal RNA is filed under the name uncultured bacterium. RNAcentral describes it as "partial 16S ribosomal RNA". It matches the Rfam family "Bacterial small subunit ribosomal RNA", at positions 523 to 796 of the family's 1533-position model. The record is from RNAcentral.